This 393-nucleotide transfer-messenger RNA is filed under the name uncultured Prevotellamassilia sp. It matches the Rfam family "transfer-messenger RNA". From Rfam's summary of the family: Bacterial tmRNA, also known as 10Sa RNA or SsrA, is named for its dual tRNA and mRNA-like properties. Its role is to liberate the mRNA from a stalled ribosome. Lineage: Bacteria; Pseudomonadati; Bacteroidota; Bacteroidia; Bacteroidales; Prevotellaceae. The record is from RNAcentral.
GAUUGGAUUUGACAGCGAGACGGAUCGGUGCGUAAGCAUGCAGUGAGCCUGGAGGUGGUCACUUAAAUCACGGCCUUCAACAAUUUAACUGGCGAAAACAACUUUGCUCUCGCUGCCUAAUCGAAGUAUAGUAGACCAGGCUUAAUUCCGACACAAGGUGUUGGAACGAGACAUCACCCAAGAGCUCUUGCCCCGAAGCAACUUGACAAGGUGGUGCAGAUAAAUCGGUGCUAGUUUGUGUUGGCCUUGCAACACGAGCGAACUUUUUAAAGGAUAAGGUGUUGGUUGGUGGCGUAGGUCUUGCCAACACUCGAAAAUCAAGUCUACGAUAAGCAUGUAGAAAGCGUAUUGCUCCCUUGUUUGGACGAGGGUUCGAGCCCCUCCUGGUCCACU